RNAcentral lists this ribosomal RNA (234 nucleotides) under uncultured bacterium. RNAcentral's name for it is "partial 16S ribosomal RNA". It matches the Rfam family "Bacterial small subunit ribosomal RNA", at positions 15 to 244 of the family's 1533-position model. The record is from RNAcentral.
GAUCAUGGCUCAGGACGAACGCUGGCGGCGCGCCUAACACAUGCAAGUCGAACGAGAGAGAGGGAGCUUGCUUCCUCAAUCGAGUGGCGAACGGGUGAGUAACGCGUGAGGAACCUGCCUCAAAGAGGGGGACAACAGUUGGAAACGACUGCUAAUACCGCAUAAGCCCACAGGUCGGCAUCGACCAGAGGGAAAAGGAGCAAUCCGCUUUGAGAUGGCCUCGCGUCCGAUUAG